ACUCAAAUGAAUUGACGGGGGCCCGCACAAGCGGCGGAGCAUGCGGAUUAAUUCGAUGCAACGCGAAGAACCUUACCUGGGUUUGACAUCACCUCGAAAGCCAUGGAGACAUGGCCUCCUUCGGGCGGGGUGACAGGUGGUGCAUGGCUGUCGUCAGCUCGUGUCGUGAGAUGUUGGGUUAAGUCCCGCAACGAGCGCAACCCUUAUCCUAUGUUGCCAGCGCGUUAUGGCGGGGACUCAUGGGAGACUGCCGGGGUCAACUCGGAGGAAGGUGGGGAUGAGGUCAAGUCAUCAUGCCCCUUAUGUCCAGGGCUUCACGCAUGCUACAAUGGCCGGUACAGAGGGCUGCGAUACCGUGAGGUGGAGCGAAUCUCGUAAAGCCGGUCUCAGUUCGGAUCCCAGUCUGCAACUCGACUGGGUGAAGUCGGAGUCGCUAGUAAUCGCAGAUCAGCAACGCUGCGGUGAAUACGUUCCCGGGCCUUGCACACACCGCCCGU
RNAcentral lists this ribosomal RNA (497 nucleotides) under uncultured bacterium. RNAcentral describes it as "partial 16S ribosomal RNA". It matches the Rfam family "Bacterial small subunit ribosomal RNA", at positions 899 to 1397 of the family's 1533-position model. The record is from RNAcentral.